GACAGAGGUGCCGAGCGUUAGGCGGAAUCACUGGGCUUAAAGCGUGUGUAGGCGGACUUCUAAGUACCUUGUGAAAUCCCCCGGCUCAACCGGGGAACUGCUUGGUAUACUGGUUGUCUUGAGCCACUUAGGGGCAGUCGGAACAGACGGUGGAGCGGUGAAAUGCGUAGAUAUCGUCUGGAACGCCAAAGGUGAAAACAGACUGCUGGGAGUGUGCUGACGCUGAGACACGAAAGCCAGGGGAGCAAACGGG
This 253-nucleotide ribosomal RNA is filed under the name uncultured bacterium. Its description in RNAcentral is "partial 16S ribosomal RNA". It matches the Rfam family "Bacterial small subunit ribosomal RNA", at positions 524 to 776 of the family's 1533-position model. The record is from RNAcentral.